RNAcentral lists this long non-coding RNA (1048 nucleotides) under Malus domestica (apple). RNAcentral describes it as "long non-coding RNA (MDOM_LNC007583)". The record is from RNAcentral. Lineage: Eukaryota; Viridiplantae; Streptophyta; Magnoliopsida; Rosales; Rosaceae.
AUGACGAUCGCCGCCUAGAAUAGUAAUCAAAUCCAACCUCAGAAUUCAUAUCGAUAGAAUAUAUAACUUAUAUAAAAUACGUCACUACGUAGUUCGAUCCGGAAGAUCUGCCACUCAGAUUUUAAAUCCAUAACUUCCAGAGGUCCACAUAUAUCUCUAGGACAACAUCCUAAAAUUUCAUCACCAACCAACGGUCGGAUCUCCGUCAAUUUCCAAAACUAAGUGACGGUUAACAUUUUAUAUUAUGGACUUACAAUUCCAAUUCCGGAAGAUCCGUAACUCGGAUUCCCAAUCCGUAAGUUCCAAUAAUCCUCGAAUAUUACGUAUUACAACGUAUCAAAGUUUGGUAACGAUCCAACGGUCGGAUCGUCAAUUCACAUUUUUACCUAAAUGUGAAAACUAUAAAACGUUAUUCGAACACCUAACCAACAAUCCUUAAUAACUUUCUCAUACGGUGCUCAAUUUGGGUAUAUGAAUAUACCACGGUGAUCUACUCGACGUCACGGACGUCGACAUAUUUUUUAAAAUAAUUUUAUUUUUAUUUAUUUUAUUUUUUACUGUAGCACCUUCUUCUUCCUUGGGUCGCCGGACUGGUUUUUCCGGCGGCCGUUUUCCGGGCAGUUUUUCAAAUUGCCAUAACUUUGUCAUUUCUCAACGAAAUCAAGUGAUUCAAAAACGAGAGUUGUAGCCCUUGAAGAGACAAAGAGAAUGGUACCUUGCACAACACCUAGUCGCCGUGGUUUGGCCGGAAACUGCCUCGAAAGCCUCGGAGGUCGCCGGAAACUGGGUAUUUUUCAAAUGAGUAUAACUUCUUCAAUACUCAACGAAAUUGAGUGAAACAAAAAGGAAAGUUGUAGUACUUGACGAGACGAAGAGAUUGAUACCUACCUCGACUCCUAACUCGCCGGGGAUUCGCCGGAAAGAGCCUCGAAAGUUCCGGCCAAACUUUGAACUUGUCGAUCUCCGUGUUCUUACGUCCAAAAACUUCUAACGAAGCACUCCGAGCUUCCUUGGGACCUCACUAAGCUCACUAUGAGCUUGGAUUGUC